This is a long non-coding RNA of Orbicella faveolata, 745 nucleotides long. RefSeq lists it as uncharacterized. NCBI's taxonomy places the organism in Eukaryota, Metazoa, Cnidaria, Anthozoa, Scleractinia, Merulinidae. The record is from RefSeq and is a predicted model, not a curated record.
ACGUAAGGGUCGUCAAAAAGGAAAGUAGAUAUAAAGGUCACGUUUAAUACAUUCUGAAAUAUACUUUGGCAAGAAGCACUAAGAACUUAUCAAAACACAGUCAAUCGAGGCAAAACGAAGCUCUCUGAAGCGAUAAGCCUUUUUUCAGGAUUUAUGGGGUUCAGGUUUUUCAAGCGAACUAACAGCACAAGCCAACCCCAGCCGAGGAGACGAUCCUUAAGCUUUAGUUUCCGUCGAAGAAGCCGUCAUGGCAGAGAAGAACAGAGUACAGAGAAUGGAAACACUUUAUCAGUUCGGCAGCGAACAAACUCCGAGAAGAGGAGAUCUAGAGAAGUUGGCGAAGCUUUGCGAGCUAUCGGCGAUGGUCUCAACAACAGCACGUUGAGUCUUCACACUGCAACGUAGUGGAUUAGUGGACGAGUGGAAAUAGAUUAAAAAGGAAAUACUUUGCGGCCUUUAUCGCCAGCUUUUGCAGUAUUGAGUAAACCAAGUGAUGAAAGAUCUAGUGCGGUGCAGCAAGCAGAAUUUUUACAAGCAUUGAAAGUAGAAACAUGGACGAAAAAGCAAACAGAAGCUUGUACUGAAAUGGCCGCUUUGCCUAAAAUGUUUAUCGGAAUUGAUGUUGUAAAAAGUAAUUUAUUGUGAAAAGACACAUAGUGGAUUUGAAAAUGCUUUAUUUAUUGUAUUUAUGGUAAAAAAGUGAAAUUAAACGUGUGGCAAUUCAGCAUACGUGUCAUUAAUUAAA